This 467-nucleotide ribosomal RNA is filed under the name uncultured bacterium. Its description in RNAcentral is "partial 16S ribosomal RNA". It matches the Rfam family "Bacterial small subunit ribosomal RNA", at positions 28 to 506 of the family's 1533-position model. The record is from RNAcentral.
GACGAACGCUGGCGGCGUGCUUAACACAUGCAAGUCGAACGGAAAGGCCCUGCUUUUGUGGGGUGCUCGAGUGGCGAACGGGUGAGUAACACGUGAGUAACCUGCCCUUGACUUUGGGAUAACUUCAGGAAACUGGGGCUAAUACCGGAUAGGAGCUCCUGCUGCAUGGUGGGGGUUGGAAAGUUUCGGCGGUUGGGGAUGGACUCGCGGCUUAUCAGCUUGUUGGUGGGGUAGUGGCUUACCAAGGCUUUGACGGGUAGCCGGCCUGAGAGGGUGACCGGCCACAUUGGGACUGAGAUACGGCCCAGACUCCUACGGGAGGCAGAAGUGGGGUAUAUUGCACAAUGGGCGGAAGCCUGAUGCAGCAACGCCGCGUGCGGGAUGACGGCCUUCGGGUUGUAAACCGCUUUCGCCUGUGACGAAGCGUGAGUGACGGUAAUGGGUAAAGAAGCACCGGCUAACUACGU